RNAcentral lists this ribosomal RNA (1377 nucleotides) under uncultured bacterium. Its description in RNAcentral is "bacterial SSU rRNA". It matches the Rfam family "Bacterial small subunit ribosomal RNA". The record is from RNAcentral.
AGAGUUUGAUCCUGGCUCAGGAUGAACGCUGGCGGCAUGCCUAAUACAUGCAAGUCGAACGAGGGUCCUUCGGGACUCGAGUGGCGAACGGAUGAGUAACACGUAGGGAACCUGCCCGUGCGACCGGGAGAACUUUCGGAAACGGAAGCUGAUACCGGAUAGGGACAGAGACGGCAUCGACUCUGUGUUAAAGGAGCUGAAAGGCUCCGCGCACGGAUGGACCUGCGGUGCAUUAGCUGGUUGGUGAGGUAACGGCCCACCAAGGCGACGAUGCAUAGCCGGCCUGAGAGGGCGGACGGCCACACUGGGACUGAGACACGGCCCAGACUCCUACGGGAGGCAGCAGUAGGGAAUUUUCGUCAAUGGGCGCAAGCCUGAACGAGCAAUGCCGCGUGAACGAGGAAGGUCUUCGGAUCGUAAAGUUCUGUUGAAGGGGAAAAAGAGCGGAGAGAGGAAAUGGUCUCCGAUUGAUAUUACCCUUCGAGGAAGUCACGGCUAACUACGUGCCAGCAGCCGCGGUAAUACGUAGGUGGCGAGCGUUAUCCGGAAUGAUUGGGCGUAAAGGGUGCGUAGGCGGCCUGCUAAGUCUGGAGUGAAAGGUACCGGCUCAACCGGUACAGGCUCUGGAAACUGGCGGGCUAGAGAGCAGGAGAGGGCGGUGGAACUCCAUGUGUAGCGGUAAAAUGCGUAGAUAUAUGGAAGAACACCAGUGGCGAAGGCGGCCGCCUGGCCUGUUACUGACGCUGAGGCACGAAAGCGUGGGGAGCAAAUAGGAUUAGAUACCCUAGUAGUCCACGCCGUAAACGAUGAGGACCAAGUGUUGGGGAAGACCCAGUGCUGCAGUUAACGCAGUGAGUCCUCCGCCUGGGGAGUAUGCACGCAAGUGUGAAACUCAAAGGAAUUGACGGGGGCCCGCACAAGCGGUGGAGUAUGUGGUUUAAUUCGAAGCAACGCGAAGAACCUUACCAGGCCUUGACAUAGGGUGCGAAGCUAUGGAGACAUAGUGGAGGUAAACAUCCAUACAGGUGGUGCAUGGUUGUCGUCAGCUCGUGUCGUGAGAUGUUCAGUUAAGUCUGGCAACGAGCGCAACCCUCGUGAUGUGUUACCAAUAUCGAGUUAGGGACUCACAUCAGACUGCCGGUGAGAAACCGGAGGAAGGCGGGGAGGACGUCAAAUCAUCAUGCCCCUUAUGGCCUGGGCUACACACGUACUACAAUGGCGGCGACAGAGGGCAGCGAGCCUGCGAAGGCAAGCGAAUCCCCAAAAAGCCGUCCCAGUUCGGAUUGGAGUCUGCAACCCGACUCCAUGAAGUUGGAAUCGCUAGUAAUCGCGGAUCAGCAUGCCGCGGUGAAUACGUUCUCGGGCCUUGCACACACC